CCCUUAGAUGUUCUGGGCCGCACGCGCGCUACACUGAUCAGUGCAACAAGCAUCCGUCCUUGGCCGACAGGCCCGGGCAAUCUUUGAACGCUGGUCGUGAUGGGGAUAGACUUUUGCAAUUUUUGGUCUUCAACGAGGAAUUCCUAGUAAACGCAAGUCAUCAACUUGCAUUGAUUACGUCCCUGCCCUUUGUACACACCGCCCGUCGCACCUACCGAUUGAAUGGUCCGGUGAAGCCUCCGGAUUGGCGCGCACCUCGGUGCCGCCGAGAAGUUGGCUAAACCUUACCAUUUAGAGGAAGGUGAAGUCGUAACA
Molecule: ribosomal RNA, 315 nt
Filed under: uncultured eukaryote
Lineage: Eukaryota
Description: partial 18S ribosomal RNA
Rfam family: Eukaryotic small subunit ribosomal RNA
Source: RNAcentral